RNAcentral lists this ribosomal RNA (493 nucleotides) under Ifremeria nautilei. Its description in RNAcentral is "partial 16S ribosomal RNA". It matches the Rfam family "Bacterial large subunit ribosomal RNA", at positions 1799 to 2562 of the family's 2925-position model. The record is from RNAcentral. Lineage: Eukaryota; Metazoa; Mollusca; Gastropoda; Provannidae.
CCUGUUUAUCAAAAACAUGGCUCUUUGAUUAUGAAAUAUAAAGAGUCGGACCUGCCCAGUGAUAAAAAUUUAACGGCCGCGGUACUCUGACCGUGCAAAGGUAGCAUAAUCAUUUGCCCUAUAAUUGAGGGCUAGUAUGAAUGGUUUGACAAGAGUAAUACUGUCUCUCUAAAAUUUUCUAGAAAUUAAUUUUUAGGUGAAGAAUCCUAAAUAAAAUUGAAAGACAAGAAGACCCUAUCGAGCUUCAAAGAAGCAUGUAGACAUAAUAAGCAUCAUUGCAUUUUCUACUACUUGAAAUUUUGGUUGGGGCGACUGAGGAACAUUCAGAGCUUCUUUAAUAUUGUUAAAACCCACAGGUUUUGAUCCAGCUAAAAUGCUGAUUAAUGGAAUUAGUUACCGUAGGGAUAACAGCAUAAUCUUCUUCAAGAGCUCAUAUCGAAAAGAAGGUUUGUGACCUCGAUGUUGGACUAGAAUAUCCUGAAGAUGCAGAAGU